RNAcentral lists this ribosomal RNA (253 nucleotides) under uncultured bacterium. RNAcentral describes it as "partial 16S ribosomal RNA". It matches the Rfam family "Bacterial small subunit ribosomal RNA", at positions 524 to 776 of the family's 1533-position model. The record is from RNAcentral.
CACGUAGGGUGCGAGCGUUGUCCGGAAUUAUUGGGCGUAAAGAGUUCGUAGGCGGUUUGUCGCGUCGUUCGUGAAAACUUGGGGCUUAACUCCAAGCGUGCGGGCGAUACGGGCAGACUUGAGUACUACAGGGGAGACUGGAAUUCCUGGUGUAGCGGUGAAAUGCGCAGAUAUCAGGAGGAACACCGGUGGCGAAGGCGGGUCUCUGGGUAGUAACUGACGCUGAGGAACGAAAGCGUGGGUAGCGAACAGG